GAUGAACGCUGGCGGCGUGCCUAAUACAUGCAAGUCGAGCGAACAGACGAGGAGCUUGCUCCUCUGACGUUAGCGGCGGACGGGUGAGUAACACGUGGAUAACCUACCUAUAAGACUGGGAUAACUUCGGGAAACCGGAGCUAAUACCGGAUAAUAUAUUGAACCGCAUGGUUCAAUAGUGAAAGACGGUUUUGCUGUCACUUAUAGAUGGAUCCGCGCCGCAUUAGCUAGUUGGUAAGGUAACGGCUUGCCAAGGCAACGAUGCGUAGCCGACCUGAGAGGGUGAUCGGCCACACUGGAACUGAGACACGGUCCAGACUCCUACGGGAGGCAGCAGUAGGGAAUCUUCCGCAAUGGGCGAAAGCCUGACGGAGCAACGCCGCGUGAGUGAUGAAGGUCGUCGGAUCGUAAAACUCUGUUAUUAGGGAAGAACAAAUGUGUAAGUAACUAUGCACGUCUUGACGGUACCUAAUCAGAAAGCCACGGCUAACUACG
RNAcentral lists this ribosomal RNA (495 nucleotides) under uncultured bacterium. RNAcentral's name for it is "partial 16S ribosomal RNA". It matches the Rfam family "Bacterial small subunit ribosomal RNA", at positions 28 to 505 of the family's 1533-position model. The record is from RNAcentral.